GAAAAGUUAUUGCAAUAAUUUGUGCAGAUAAAUAAGAAAAGUAAAUUUUAUUUUAAAAAUUUCAACGAUAAAAAUAUGACAAUAAGGCGGCAAGUAAAGGGGAGAACCUAUCGCGGGAAUAAAAGACAUUUCGUUUGCGCUAACACGAGCUUCAAUAAAAACUCAAUUUAUAAGACAACCUUCGACCUCGCUAAAUGGCUCGCAGCUAUCUUUGCCAAGUUUCAACGUCGAAUUCCAAUAUGAUCGUCAAUAUAAACGGCAAAGUUUACAAUAAUUUUGACUAAAAUGCCAUGAAAAUUGAGCUGAAAACCUG
Molecule: long non-coding RNA, 313 nt
Organism: Apis dorsata (giant honeybee)
Lineage: Eukaryota; Metazoa; Arthropoda; Insecta; Hymenoptera; Apidae
Exons: 2
Source: RefSeq, a predicted model, not a curated record